Molecule: ribosomal RNA, 454 nt
Filed under: uncultured Porphyromonadaceae bacterium
Lineage: Bacteria; Pseudomonadati; Bacteroidota; Bacteroidia; Bacteroidales; Porphyromonadaceae
Description: partial 16S ribosomal RNA
Rfam family: Bacterial small subunit ribosomal RNA
Source: RNAcentral
ACGGGAGGCAGCAGUGAGGAAUAUUGGUCAAUGGACGGAAGUCUGAACCAGCCAAGUCGCGUGAAGGAUGAAGGUUCUAUGGAUUGUAAACUUCUUUUGUCUGAGGGUAAAGUGCGGUACGUGUACCGUUUUGCAAGUAUCAGACGAAUAAGCAUCGGCUAACUCCGUGCCAGCAGCCGCGGUAAUACGGAGGAUGCGAGCGUUAUCCGGAUUUAUUGGGUUUAAAGGGUGCGCAGGCGGCACGUUAAGUCAGCGGUGAAAUGCAGGGGCUCAACCCCGGCACUGCCGUUGAAACUGGCGAGCUCGAGUACGGAUGAAGUCGGCGGAAUGUGAUGUGUAGCGGUGAAAUGCUUAGAUAUGUCACAGAACACCGAUUGCGAAGGCAGCUGACUAAUCCGCAACUGACGCUCAGGCACGAAAGCGUGGGGAUCGAACAGGAUUAGAUACCCUGGUA